Molecule: ribosomal RNA, 793 nt
Filed under: uncultured bacterium
Lineage: Bacteria
Description: bacterial SSU rRNA
Rfam family: Bacterial small subunit ribosomal RNA
Source: RNAcentral
AGAGUUUGAUCCUGGCUCAGAUUGAACGCUGGCGGCAGGCCUAACACAUGCAAGUCGAGCGGAUGAGAGGAGCUUGCUCCUUGAUUUAGCGGCGGACGGGUGAGUAAUGCCUAGGAAUCUGCCUGGUAGUGGGGGAUAACGUCCGGAAACGGGCGCUAAUACCGCAUACGUCCUACGGGAGAAAGCAGGGGACCUUCGGGCCUUGCGCUAUCAGAUGAGCCUAGGUCGGAUUAGCUAGUUGGUGAGGUAAUGGCUCACCAAGGCGACGAUCCGUAACUGGUCUGAGAGGAUGAUCAGUCACACUGGAACUGAGACACGGUCCAGACUCCUACGGGAGGCAGCAGUGGGGAAUAUUGGACAAUGGGCGAAAGCCUGAUCCAGCCAUGCCGCGUGUGUGAAGAAGGUCUUCGGAUUGUAAAGCACUUUAAGUUGGGAGGAAGGGCAUUAACCUAAUACGUUAGUGUUUUGACGUUACCGACAGAAUAAGCACCGGCUAACUUCGUGCCAGCAGCCGCGGUAAUACGAAGGGUGCAAGCGUUAAUCGGAAUUACUGGGCGUAAAGCGCGCGUAGGUGGUUCGUUAAGUUGGAUGUGAAAGCCCCGGGCUCAACCUGGGAACUGCAUCCAAAACUGGCGAGCUAGAGUACGGUAGAGGGUGGUGGAAUUUCCUGUGUAGCGGUGAAAUGCGUAGAUAUAGGAAGGAACACCAGUGGCGAAGGCGACCACCUGGACUGAUACUGACACUGAGGUGCGAAAGCGUGGGGAGCAAACAGGAUUAGAUACCCUGGUAGUCC